CAGCAUGUAGCGGUCAACACAUAUAUAAACUUUUCUGUAACAUCGAUGGCGCAGUUUGCUCGCUGCAUGUGCGGGGCAUCCAUUCCAGCGGGUACGAUGAUCACUAUGGGUGUCGGCAGGGUUCGCUGCCACGCGGUCUCUGCCAUUACAGUGCUCCUGGUGCUAGCCGCAGUGGCGGGAGUGCAAGCUCGCUGCCCUCCCAGGCGGUCGGGUCUCUUGAGUACCUGCGACUACACCGUAUGUUCCCCCGCGGAGUGCGCCGCGCAGGGUCUGGAGUGCUGCCCGAAACCGUGCGGUGGAAGCUGGUGCGUCAAAGGUAUACGUCCGCCACCCGAAUUCACUGAGAUCUGUCCAUCAGUGUUUAAUAGGGACCAGGACUGCCUUGAGCCGAGGGAUAACACGACUUGUGAACAACUGAACUGCUUCAAGGUGGGAUCCAUCUGCUGCCGCAAUGGCUGCAAGGAAAACUACUGCUACCUCGUGCCCGGGACAUUCAAGUGAGGCCCUCGGUCACCGCUAGCCACGCCAAGCUUUUUCUCAACACUUUAUCAGAAUAAACAUCCGUUUGAUCUGCUCA
Molecule: long non-coding RNA, 577 nt
Organism: Dermacentor albipictus
Lineage: Eukaryota; Metazoa; Arthropoda; Arachnida; Ixodida; Ixodidae
Source: RefSeq, a predicted model, not a curated record